GCCGGGUGCGGUGGCUCACACCUGUAAUCCCAGCACUUUGGGAGGCUGAGGCAGGUGGAUCACCUGAGGUCAAGAGUUCAAGACCAGCUUGACCAAUAUGGUGAAACCCCGUCUCUA
This 117-nucleotide non-coding RNA is filed under the name Nomascus leucogenys (northern white-cheeked gibbon). Lineage: Eukaryota; Metazoa; Chordata; Mammalia; Primates; Hylobatidae. The record is from Rfam by way of RNAcentral.